RNAcentral lists this ribosomal RNA (405 nucleotides) under uncultured bacterium. RNAcentral's name for it is "bacterial SSU rRNA". It matches the Rfam family "Bacterial small subunit ribosomal RNA", at positions 29 to 420 of the family's 1533-position model. The record is from RNAcentral.
AACGAACGUUAGCGGCGCGCCUAACACAUGCAAGUCGCACGAGAAAGGGCUUCGGCCCCGGUAAAGUGGCGCACGGGUGAGUAACACGUGGGUAACCUUCCCUCGAGCGGGGGAUAACCUUCCGAAAGGAGGGCUAAUACCGCAUAAGACCACGGGGUGUGAAUCCCUGAGGUCAAAGCUGGCCUCUAUACAUAAGCUAGCACUUGAGGAUGGGCCCGCGGCGCAUCAGCUUGUUGGUGGGGUAAUGGCCUACCAAGGCGAAGACGCGUAGCUGGUCUGAGAGGAUGAUCAGCCACACUGGAACUGAGACACGGUCCAGACUCCUACGGGAGGCAGCAGUGGGGAAUCUUGCGCAAUGGACGAAAGUCUGACGCAGCGACGCCGCGUGGGUGAUGAAGGCCUCGG